RNAcentral lists this long non-coding RNA (367 nucleotides) under Physcomitrium patens. RNAcentral describes it as "long non-coding RNA (PPAT_LNC009422)". Lineage: Eukaryota; Viridiplantae; Streptophyta; Bryopsida; Funariales; Funariaceae. The record is from RNAcentral.
AGCCUUCUUUUCUCGCCUUUUGAAGUCCUUUUGCUCCUUCAUGCUUGCCUCUAAUCCAGAUGCCUCUUCCUCCUCACAUACUAUCUCCCAAAGAUCCAAUGACGCCAAAAGUAGCUCCAUUUUGGCCUUCAAGUGGUGAAAGUUGUCACCUCUAAACUUUUCUACCAUUCUUAAGCUAUCACUCUCAAAAGAUGCCAUCUCAAGCUACAAGUAGGUCCUAAAAUCUCUUGAUUUGGAGUUGUAAUGCAAAAGAUAUGACUACUCAAAGAUUGCUGAACUACAAACUCAGAAUUCGCUGUUUUGCAACUUUUUGCAUACUUUGAGUCCAAAUCACGUCUAAAUGGUGGAAAAUGCUAUUUCAUGUAAU